This is an unclassified non-coding RNA of Callithrix jacchus (white-tufted-ear marmoset), 300 nucleotides long. It matches the Rfam family "Metazoan signal recognition particle RNA". Rfam says of the family: The signal recognition particle (SRP) is a universally conserved ribonucleoprotein. It is involved in the co-translational targeting of proteins to membranes. The eukaryotic SRP consists of a 300-nucleotide 7S RNA and six proteins: SRPs 72, 68, 54, 19, 14, and 9. Lineage: Eukaryota; Metazoa; Chordata; Mammalia; Primates; Cebidae. The record is from Ensembl.
GCCGGGAGCAGUGGCGCACGCCUGUAGUCACAGCUACUCAGGAGGCUGAGGCUGGAGGAUCUCUUGAGCCCAGGAGUUCUGGGCUGUAGUGUGCUAUGCUGAUCGGGUGUCCACACUAAGUUUGGCAUCAAUAUCGUGACCUCCCGGGAGCAGGGGACCACCAGGUUGCCUAAAGAGGGGUGAACCGGCCCAGGUUGGAAACGGAGCAGGUCAAAACUCCUGUGCUGAUCAGUAGUGGGAUCACACCUGUGAAUAGCCACUGCACUCCAGCCUGGGCAACACAGCAAGACACUGUCUCUU